AUUGAACGCUGGCGGCAUGCCUUACACAUGCAAGUCGAACGGUAACAGGUCUCCGGAUGCUGACGAGUGGCGAACGGGUGAGUAAUACAUCGGAACGUGCCUAGUAGUGGGGGAUAACUACUCGAAAGAGUGGCUAAUACCGCAUGAGAUCUACGGAUGAAAGCAGGGGAUCGCAAGACCUUGUGCUACUAGAGCGGCCGAUGGCAGAUUAGGUAGUUGGUGGGAUAAAAGCUUACCAAGCCGACGAUCUGUAGCUGGUCUGAUAGGACGAUCAGCCACACUGGGACUGAGACACGGCCCAGACUCCUACGGGAGGCAGCAGUGGGGAAUUUUGGACAAUGGGCGCAAGCCUGGUCCAGCAAUGCCGCGUGCAGGAUGAAGGCCUUCGGGUUGUAAACUGCUUUUGUACGGAACGAAAAGCCCCGGGUUAAUACCCUGGGGUCAUGACGGUACCGUAAGAAUAAGCACCGGCUAACUACGUGCCAGCCGCCGCGGUAA
Molecule: ribosomal RNA, 498 nt
Filed under: uncultured bacterium
Lineage: Bacteria
Description: partial 16S ribosomal RNA
Rfam family: Bacterial small subunit ribosomal RNA
Source: RNAcentral